This 912-nucleotide ribosomal RNA is filed under the name uncultured bacterium. RNAcentral describes it as "bacterial SSU rRNA". It matches the Rfam family "Bacterial small subunit ribosomal RNA", at positions 584 to 1505 of the family's 1533-position model. The record is from RNAcentral.
CAAGUCAGCGGUAAAAUUGCGGGGCUCAACCCCGUACAGCCGUUGAAACUGCCGGGCUCGAGUGGGCGAGAAGUAUGCGGAAUGCGUGGUGUAGCGGUGAAAUGCAUAGAUAUCACGCAGAACCCCGAUUGCGAAGGCAGCAUACCGGCGCCCUACUGACGCUGAGGCACGAAAGUGCGGGGAUCAAACAGGAUUAGAUACCCUGGUAGUCCGCACAGUAAACGAUGAAUACUAAUUGUUCGGGGAGAAUGAUCCCUGAGUGAUACAGCGAAAGCGUUAAGUAUUCCACCUGGGGAGUACGCCGGCAACGGUGAAACUCAAAGGAAUUGACGGGGGCCCGCACAAGCGGAGGAACAUGUGGUUUAAUUCGAUGAUACGCGAGGAACCUUACCCGGGCUCAAACGACACAGGAAUACUUUUGAAAGGAGGUAGCUCUACGGAGUCUGUGUCGAGGUGCUGCAUGGUUGUCGUCAGCUCGUGCCGUGAGGUGUCGGCUUAAGUGCCAUAACGAGCGCAACCCCCAUCGCCAGUUACCAGCAAGUCAAGUUGGGGACUCUGGCGAGACUGCCGGCGCAAGCUGUGAGGAAGGCGGGGAUGACGUCAAAUCAGCACGGCCCUUACGUCCGGGGCGACACACGUGUUACAAUGGCAGGUACAGAGAGAAGCAAUGCGGCGACGCAAAGCGGAACUUGAAAGCCUGUCUCAGUUCGGAUUGGAGUCUGCAACUCGACUCCAUGAAGCUGGAUUCGCUAGUAAUCGCGCAUCAGCCAUGGCGCGGUGAAUACGUUCCCGGGCCUUGUACACACCGCCCGUCAAGCCAUGGAAGCCGGGAGUGCCUGAAGUGUGCAACCGCAAGGAGCGCCCUAAGGUAAAACUGGUGACUGGGGCUAAGUCGUAACAAGGUAGCCGUAA